RNA transcript from Nematostella vectensis (starlet sea anemone), 2791 nucleotides. RefSeq lists it as uncharacterized. Lineage: Eukaryota; Metazoa; Cnidaria; Anthozoa; Actiniaria; Edwardsiidae. The record is from RefSeq and is a predicted model, not a curated record. The transcript is spliced from 8 exons.
CAGUUUACUUCCGGUCGAUUACGUUACGAUCUCGGAUGAUUUUUAACGGAAAACACGAAAAAUAUUUCAAAAUAUUGAAAGCAGUGUGUAUACUGCAAGUUUCUUCGAGGGUGUGAUUGAUAAUUGAUAGCGGAUGGCAUGUAAAAUAUCUCACAACCACAAGAAAGCGACAAAAUGCAAGAUAUGAAUUCCCAUGGGGAUGGAAAAUCACCACUUAAAAUGACCAGAUCCGUUGUGUUGUUUAGAAGAAUUCACUUAUAUGGAAGAUGAAGCCGAAAGCAUGGAAGGUACAGAUACUCUUGACAGUAUUAUCAAAGACACUGAAGAGAUUUUGGAGAGCUGGAAGCAAGAGAGGCUUAAAAAGGCUUGGAGUAAACGAAUGCAGGCAGUGAACAUUAGCUGGGAGACAUCCAGAAAACUACUGUUUGAAGCUGUUCUCUCGUCCAAGGCCACCAUUGCACAAACGUGCUCAGUAUGUCAUGGGAAGAACUUCAUCAUACGUUGUCAAGAUUGUGUUCACAGUUUUUUGUGCCAGUCCUGUGAUGAUUUUGUACACACAACUUCACCCCUGCAUGAUAGAGAAGCCAUCUUGGGUGGGUACUACCGCUCCAUUUUGCCAACAGAAUAUAUAGAUGUGACCGGGGCUUUAGCCAAUAAAAGUAAGUAUAGUAUAAAAUCACAGUAGUCAGAUCUAUUUGCUGUGUGUUAUAUUUAUGCCAGAUCCUUGAAAAAAUUGAACUACUCUAUGGCAGUUACCAGCAAUGUUUACUACAGUACCCUAUUUCCUAGAUUGUCAUCUGCCACUGCAUCCACAGCAAUGUUCAUGUGGCAAUAAAAUGGAAGCCAAGUACUCUACUGGACAACAUAUUAUAGUUACUUCGAAAGGUGAAAUACUUUAGCAGAUCAGUGGAUCACAAGACUGCAGGUCAAGUGAUUUGUAUCUGCUCAAGAAUUUCCCCCAACAAACACAAGCCUGUUGAAGGCUAGAAAAUAAUUGGAUCACACAAUAGCCACAAUGCCAAAUUCCUGUAUUUCAAAACGCAAAAUAGUUUUUCUGUAGAAAUUGACUUCAACUUUUGUUUUAAUUUCUUGCAGGGAGAUUUGACUCCAGCAUAGUUAGUCAUUAUGCAUGCAGUGUUUGUAGUACAGAGGUGGAUUGCAGCAUCACAGCAGUUGAUGUCAUCAGAAAUGAUUGGAACAAUCAAUUUCUCAACAUUCAGCAGGAGCUUCAAGGAGUGGAAGUUCUGUUGCUAUGAAAUCGACCAGCUUGCUGAGAGAAAUUGGAUGGAGUGCCCUCCCUGCUCGCAGGGACAACACUCUGCACAUGUUGAUGGCAACAUGAAGUUGUACCGCUUUAGUGCAGCAGGAAGUCAACAGCGUGAGAGCUAUUAUAUGAUGCGUCAUGCUUCGGCACUAUACCGGAGGGAAUUUGCCAGGCUAAAGUCUAAUCCAACAAACAAAGAGAUACAAACAGAAUUAAUCAUUCCUGCAGAAGCAACACUUACUGUAAAUGUCAUUAGACAUUUGAAGGCAGCCAUGCAAAACGCUCAUUAUAGUAUCGCACAGCUGUCUUUGAACAUUGCAAAAUUAGCUGAUUCUUCUAAACAACGAUCUCGCCUGAGAAAAAAGAUUUCCCAAGAGAAACGGGGACUGAAGGAGCUAGUUAGUUCGUAUAAUGGAAAACCAUAUCUCGAUAGAAGACGUCGAAGCCGGGCUAUUUCCUUUUCUCUUCGAAUAUGAAAUAACCAACAGAUCAGGAAAGAUAUGCUACUGAUUCCGAGAAAGACAUUGUCAUCAGAGGGAAAUGGUCUGUCACACAGAUGGGGAUCGACUUCGCUCUUUGUCAAUUGGCUUGUGGUACUGCUGCAUUCAAGAAGUUCAUUGACGUUAACGCCUCCAGCGACGAUGACGAUAACGUAGAUGAUGACGGAAGUGAUGAUGACUUGUGGUUUGAAGGCGAAGAUAGCGACGAUGAGACCAAUGAUGUGGAUGUAGCCCCCGUCAUUAACGAAUGCUCCCUGCAAUCUAUGUCGGACUUAAAUGGGACUUACAUCUGGAAAUAUCCUAAACAGUUUAGUCACGGCAGCAUCGACGGAUGACAUGGUAGUAACGCGUGCACCGUGAUAGCUCUUGUGAUAGGAUAUAAUUUGAUAAGAGAAGACCUGUCCUUUCCGGCCAACGACAGUUCUAUUUCUCCACUAUGGAUAACGUUAUUGCAUCAGUCCAUGGUGCCGGGGAAUAACGUGUAUGAUAGGUUCAAAGAUUCUCUAAAGUCGAGUUAUCUAUCUGUGGAGGAAGCUUGCGAUAUCUUGUCUCGGUGUUAUACUAUUAAAUCAGAGAGGCCAUUGCCUGUUCGACUCCAAGACUCACAUCGGCCCUCGACCAUAGCAUGGCAGAUUGAACAACUCGUUACGCCCGGCGUGACAAAGUUAGCAGCCCUAAUCAUAAAUGGGAAUACGUCUCUCUUCGUUGUCCGCCAUCAUGACAUUAUGUUUAUUGACACUCAUGCUCAUGGAACUGAUCAUGGCGUUAUUGUCCUCAAAGGUCACCGCGAUAGUUUGGAAAACUUUUGUCGUUCAGUAUGGGAAACUCAGUAUUUUCAUAACCGAACAUAUGGUAAUUUCGUUCCCAUCCAUACCCCUGCGAUACUAUCGUAGCUCGAAGUUAGUAAAGUGAAACGGUGACAGGUUGAAAUAGUUGUGCAAGUGUUCUGCUUUGACGAUAUCAGCUAUAUAACAUUGUAUACCAUAAAUAGUUAUUAGUGUUAUUGGUAUUAAAACAUUUAUUGAAA